CCUAACAUGCGUUGAAGUCCACUCUCUGACCCAUACAUUUAAUUAUACUUUUUAAAAAUUGGUUAUUUAGUUUUUGUAGGUUACGUUUCCUUUUUUGUAUAAAGUAUCUGCCACAUAUUUUUUUUUCUUUUUUUACUAAAAUUAAAACAUCGUUUAUUGUUCUUGUAAUUUGUUUUACUUUUUGCAGAUAUGCUUCCAUAAAUUAUUUUUUCUUCUUGUUAUAUUUUCGCCUCACCAAAACUUCAUUUGACAAUAUUCAAAGGGUUUAUUUGUUAAAUAACCAAAAAAAGGCAAAGUUAGUUUUCUAAAGAGAUGCUAGAGAGAGAUAGAAACAGAAAAGUAGAGAGUGUGUGUGUCUUUGGUUACUUAGUCGAUAUUGGUUUUUUUAGUGAUGAUCUUAUUACUAAAUUUUACCGUUAAUACUGCAUAUAUUCCUAAAUUUUACUGUUAAUACUGCUAAUAUUCCUAGAUUUUAUGGGUGCAAUUUCUCAUAUUCAAAACUACUUAUUUCUUCUUUACCACUAUCAUUUUUAUUUUUUGGUACAAUUAUUUAUAUAAUAACAAUC
This 566-nucleotide long non-coding RNA is filed under the name Brassica rapa (field mustard). RNAcentral's name for it is "long non-coding RNA (BRAP_LNC004216)". The record is from RNAcentral. Lineage: Eukaryota; Viridiplantae; Streptophyta; Magnoliopsida; Brassicales; Brassicaceae.